RNAcentral lists this long non-coding RNA (1606 nucleotides) under Salmo salar (Atlantic salmon). RNAcentral's name for it is "lncRNA (ENSSSAG00000084345.1)". Lineage: Eukaryota; Metazoa; Chordata; Actinopteri; Salmoniformes; Salmonidae. The record is from RNAcentral.
GUUCUGGCAUGCUAUGUACAGUACCUAUCCCAAAUGCAGUUACAGUAGCAAGGAUAAACACCUCCACUUGUCCCUUAAACAUUAUAUCCAUUACACAGUAUCCUAUCUUGUUCACUUUGAUGCCCUUUCUUCAAAAAAACAUUUUACUUGACCCUUCAUUGUAUUGUAUGAUUCUGCUGGAUCAGCCAACUGGAUAUUACUCCAAAAUGCCAACCUGUGUGCCGUCAAUGAACAGACACAUAAUCUCAAUCUAAGGUGCGUUGUCAUUCAUUAUAGUAAGUAUAUACACUGUAUGUUACUGACAUUCAUGUUUUAGUCUACAAACAUCGGUGUACAAUUACAGUGUUGUACAACAAAUCAAUAUAUACAGCAUGUGGGUGGAUGAUACAAAUUGCAUAUUAAUUUGACAUUCUAAAAAUACUGUAUUUCAGAAGAUGGCGCCCCUCCUCGGACGGGCGGCGCUCGGCGGUCGUCGUCGCCGGUCUACUAGCUGCCACCGAUCUAUGUUUCUGUGUUCUUUGGUUUUUGUCUGUCUAGGUCCGCACCUGUUUCUUGUCUGCCAUUAGUGGGAGGGGGUAUUUAGUUUGUUCCUUUGUGUUCUGUAUUCGUGCGGGAUUAUUUGUAUGUCGACGGGUAGUGAUUUUGUGUACACGGUUUUGUGUUUUCAGCAUGCUGCAUUCUAUAUUUUUAUUGCCGGGCUGCGCCCCGUGCGUUAUCAUUUUUGGAUAACCUUUUCCGUUUGGGUGUUGUGCGCACCCUGUGCCUUUUGACCACCUUUGUUUCGGUGGAAAUAAACUUCGGCACUAUUGGACCUCAGUCUCCUGCUCUUGACUCUGCCCCUUCUCCCUGCCCUUAAGGAAACGUGACAAUUUCAGUAACAACAGACCAUUUCAAGUAAUAUGGAAGAGUAUUAGAGCUUAUUGGAAUGAUAUGCAGUCAUGAUAUUGAAAUUGUUGAGACAUUACAGGCAAUAUGCUACCAUAAAUAAUGGUUAUUCUCUCUUAAAUGUACUAUGAUACCUUUAUGACCUUUGUACAGUGAUAGCAGCUGUUGUUGUUUCUUCCAUCUAGUUAGAGUUUAAAAUUACACAGCUUACUUAAGCUCUGCAGUCUCAGACAUUGAAUUAUUCUCUCACACGCACAUGCGCAUAGAUGAUAUAGAUGAUAUUGUGGUAUAUGCCUGACAUUGACUAUGUGGUCAGUCCAUAAGAGAGUACUUUUUGUGGUUUUAUUAAGGCACAGAGCUUCUUCUGCUGAAAGUCCUUUUUGGUAGAGAUGACCCAAGAGCAGAUGGUGUCAUUCUAGUGGACAGGCAGGAUAUGGAAAAUCCCACUUCCCCUGAGCUGGAGUAAACACUACUACCACUGCCCCCUGCCUCGCUCUCAAAGCCCCAGCUCCUAGCCACCUCUGUCUCCUCAUCCUCCUAUUCCUUUUCUUCCUACUCCUCCUUCUCCUCUUCUUCCUCCUCCUCCUCCUCGGCACUCUCAAGCUUGAGCUCUUGGAUUGCUGUGUGAAGGUCCAUCAGCUUUUGUAUCAAGGCCUGGUCCUGAGAUUGCAUUUCCAUCUGCACAAAACAGUUAGGAUUUUAAACAGAGCGACAAAGACAC